CACGUAGGAGACGAGCGUUAUCCGGAUUUAUUGGGCGUAAAGAGCAUGUAGGCGGGCUCUUAAGUCGGACGUGAAAUCUCUUGGCUUAACCGGGAGGGGUCGUUCGAUACUGGGAGUCUUGAGGGCAGGAGAGGGAAGUAGAAUUCCCGGUGUAGUGGUGGAAUACGUAGAUAUCGGGAGGAAUACCAGUGGCGAAGGCGGCUUCCUGGCCUGUGCCUGACGCUGAGAUGCGAAAGCGUGGGUAGCAAACGGG
This 253-nucleotide ribosomal RNA is filed under the name uncultured bacterium. RNAcentral's name for it is "partial 16S ribosomal RNA". It matches the Rfam family "Bacterial small subunit ribosomal RNA", at positions 524 to 776 of the family's 1533-position model. The record is from RNAcentral.